Molecule: ribosomal RNA, 305 nt
Filed under: uncultured bacterium
Lineage: Bacteria
Description: bacterial SSU rRNA
Rfam family: Bacterial small subunit ribosomal RNA
Source: RNAcentral
GUUUCCUACGGGGCGCAGCAGUGAGGAAUAUUGGUCAAUGGGCGAGAGCCUGAACCAGCCAAGUCGCGUGAGGGAGGACGGCCCUACGGGUUGUAAACCUCUUUUGCCGGGGGACAAACGGCGGCACGCGUGCCGUCCUGAGGGUACCCGGAGAAAAAGCAUCGGCUAACUCCGUGCCAGCAGCCGCGGUAAUACGGAGGAUGCGAGCGUUAUCCGGAUUUAUUGGGUUUAAAGGGUGCGCAGGCGGUCUGUUAAGUCAGCGGUCAAAGCCCGGGGCUCAACCCCGGCCCGCCGUUGAAACUGGC